UGGGGAAUAUUGGACAAUGGGCGCAAGCCUGAUCCAGCCAUGCCGCGUGAGUGAUGAAGGCCCUAGGGUUGUAAAGCUCUUUCACCGGUGAAGAUAAUGACGGUAACCGUAGAAGAAGCCCCGGCUAACUUCGUGCCAGCAGCCGCGGUAAUACGAAGGGGGCUAGCGUUGUUCGGAUUUACUGGGCGUAAAGCGCACGUAGGCGGACUAUUAAGUCAGGGGUGAAAUCCCGGGGCUCAACCCCGGAACUGCCUUUGAUACUGGUAGUCUUGAGUUCGAGAGGGGUGGGUGGAAUUCCGAGUGUAGAGGUGAAAUUCGUAGAUAUUCGGAGGAACACCAGGGGCGAAGGCGGCUCACUGGCUCGAUACUGACGCUGAGGUGCGAAAGCGUGGGGAGCAAACAGG
This 404-nucleotide ribosomal RNA is filed under the name Actinomycetes bacterium. Its description in RNAcentral is "Actinobacteria bacterium partial 16S ribosomal RNA". It matches the Rfam family "Bacterial small subunit ribosomal RNA", at positions 355 to 776 of the family's 1533-position model. Lineage: Bacteria; Bacillati; Actinomycetota; Actinomycetes. The record is from RNAcentral.